GGGUUAUCCAACGCAUCGGAACAACAUUCGUAUAUCAUGGGAUAUCAACAUCUUUGUCGACGUUACUUCGUUCCCCGUUUUUUACCUGUCCCUUCAUAAUUUUUACUUUACUCAUUUAUACAUGCAUGGAUAUUUCAUUGUUAUUCUACUUAUUUGGAUUGGAUUUACUAUUCUUUUUCCGCAGAAUAUUCUAACGAAAAUUGUACAGUUGUACAGUGUCCGGAUAUGUACGAUGUGGUAAAACUACCAACAAUCUCGUCAAAUUCGUCAGAUUUGUCGAGAGAUUUGUGCACAUGAAUGAAAUAGUUGUCACUUGACGUUUAACUACAAACAAAAUCAAUCAACCGACAUAAUAGAUUAACAGUAUACUAUUACCAGAAGAGAACCUCAAAUACAUUUUUUAUUAAAAAUCACAAAUGAAUUCAGACAUGUCAGUGUUGGUACAUGUACUUGGAUGAUGCGGCCUAAUAGUUUCGUUUUACACACCCUAGUGACUGUUCAAUAUUAUGAAUACAGAGAUGAAACGCUGACAUUCUCAAUGAAUGCGGAAAAAAAUGCAUUACUUGUUUUCCUUAUUGCUUACAUUUGCCGUCCUACUAACAUGUUCACAGGAGUGCCAGGAGCAGACAUAAUUAGGCACCAUCCCAACAGCGGUCAUUUAUUUUAUACAUUGAAUCCAGACAUCAAAACUAUGGCUGAUUAACUAUGCGGAUAUAUAUAAAUUUUUAAAUUAAAGUGCACAUAUGCAGGUCAGUUUUUGGUCGAUGCAGUCAAAUAAUUUUGUUGUAUAAGUCAGC
RNAcentral lists this long non-coding RNA (797 nucleotides) under Mytilus galloprovincialis (Mediterranean mussel). The record is from RNAcentral. Lineage: Eukaryota; Metazoa; Mollusca; Bivalvia; Mytilida; Mytilidae.